This 579-nucleotide long non-coding RNA is filed under the name Oncorhynchus kisutch (coho salmon). RNAcentral describes it as "lncRNA (ENSOKIG00005014805.1)". The record is from RNAcentral. Lineage: Eukaryota; Metazoa; Chordata; Actinopteri; Salmoniformes; Salmonidae.
CACAACACCAGACUAGUAAUUGAUAUUAGUAUGAUUAAAGGUCCCGAUAGUGCACGCAACCGCAGCGUUGGUAGCAAGUCAGAAAUUCAGAUUCAGCAGUGGAAUCAGGGGGAAAAGGCAAACCUAAACAGCCUACUAUUUAGGAUGCAAGUACGGGUAUCCGGACUUGGCCAUAUAUCUCCACUCCCUCCCCUAUAGGGAUGGGCACAGUUAUAGAAUAUCAGGAUAUCCGAACAGAUGUUAGAAUUUCAACACCUAACAUUGCACCAUCAGCCUGGCUGCAGUGGGCGACAUGGAGAAGCACCAGGGUUCAAGAUGGCGUGCAUGAGGAAGGCCGUGGUAACAGAGGCAGUGGUGCAGAUUCUCCGACCAGACACUCAUCUCUAAGCCUGCAGUCAUACAGAGGAUUGAUUGUAACAGUGUGUCUCUCAGAGCUGGAGUUUGCAUCAGACUUCUGCCUAAAGAUUACAGACUGCACGGCCAUCGUUGGCUACUAUGACAUUUUCUUCGACAGAUUCUGCGGCAACAAGGUAAGCAGCAUGUGGCGGCCCUUCCUUUUAACGGCAACCCAAUUAUAUU